GUGCUCCCUUCAGCAGCACAUAUACUAAAAUUGGAACGAUACAGAGAAGAUUAGCAUGGCUCCUGCACAAGGAUGACAUGCAAUUUCGUGAAGCAUUCCAUAUUUUU
RNAcentral lists this small nuclear RNA (107 nucleotides) under Dasypus novemcinctus (nine-banded armadillo). Lineage: Eukaryota; Metazoa; Chordata; Mammalia; Cingulata; Dasypodidae. The record is from RNAcentral.